RNAcentral lists this ribosomal RNA (458 nucleotides) under uncultured bacterium. RNAcentral describes it as "SSU rRNA". It matches the Rfam family "Bacterial small subunit ribosomal RNA", at positions 26 to 518 of the family's 1533-position model. The record is from RNAcentral.
AGAAUCAACGCUGGCGGCGUGCCUAACACAUGCAAGUCGAACGAGAAAGUGGAGCAAUCCAUGAGUACAGUGGCGUACGGGUGAGUAACACGUGACUACCUACCCUCGAGUGGGGAAUAACCUCGGGAAACCGGGGCUAAUACCGCAUAAUGUCUUCGGACCAAAUGCGUAAGCAGCUUGAGGAGGGGGUCGCGGCCGAUUAGCUAGUUGGUGAGGUAAUGGCCCACCAAGGCAAUGAUCGGUAGCCGGCCUGAGAGGGCGCACGGCCACACUGGAACUGAAACACGGUCCAGACUCCUACGGGAGGCAGCAGUGGGGAAUUUGCGCAAUGGGGGAAACCCUGACGCAGCAACGCCACGUGGAGGAUGAAGCCCCUUGGGGUGUAAACUCCUUUCGAUCGGGACGAUUAUGACGGUACCGGAUGAAGAAGCACCGGCUAACUCUGCGCCAGCAGCCGC